GGCCUCUCCCAUAGUAUAGCCUA
RNAcentral lists this non-coding RNA (23 nucleotides) under Arabidopsis thaliana (thale cress). Lineage: Eukaryota; Viridiplantae; Streptophyta; Magnoliopsida; Brassicales; Brassicaceae. The record is from RNAcentral.